Molecule: ribosomal RNA, 874 nt
Filed under: Staphylococcus aureus
Lineage: Bacteria; Bacillati; Bacillota; Bacilli; Caryophanales; Staphylococcaceae
Description: partial 23S ribosomal RNA
Rfam family: Bacterial large subunit ribosomal RNA
Source: RNAcentral
ACAAGUAGUCAGAGCCCGUUAAUGGGUGAUGGCGUGCCUUUUGUAGAAUGAACCGGCGAGUUACGAUUUGAUGCAAGGUUAAGCAGUAAAUGUGGAGCCGUAGCGAAAGCGAGUCUGAAUAGGGCGUUUAGUAUUUGGUCGUAGACCCGAAACCAGGUGAUCUACCCUUGGUCAGGUUGAAGUUCAGGUAACACUGAAUGGAGGACCGAACCGACUUACGUUGAAAAGUGAGCGGAUGAACUGAGGGUAGCGGAGAAAUUCCAAUCGAACCUGGAGAUAGCUGGUUCUCUCCGAAAUAGCUUUAGGGCUAGCCUCAAGUGAUGAUUAUUGGAGGUAGAGCACUGUUUGGACGAGGGGCCCCUCUCGGGUUACCGAAUUCAGACAAACUCCGAAUGCCAAUUAAUUUAACUUGGGAGUCAGAACAUGGGUGAUAAGGUCCGUGUUCGAAAGGGAAACAGCCCAGACCACCAGCUAAGGUCCCAAAAUAUAUGUUAAGUGGAAAAGGAUGUGGCGUUGCCCAGACAACUAGGAUGUUGGCUUAGAAGCAGCCAUCAUUUAAAGAGUGCGUAAUAGCUCACUAGUCGAGUGACACUGCGCCGAAAAUGUACCGGGGCUAAACAUAUUACCGAAGCUGUGGAUUGUCCUUUGGACAAUGGUAGGAGAGCGUUCUAAGGGCGUUGAAGCAUGAUCGUAAGGACAUGUGGAGCGCUUAGAAGUGAGAAUGCCGGUGUGAGUAGCGAAAGACGGGUGAGAAUCCCGUCCACCGAUUGACUAAGGUUUCCAGAGGAAGGCUCGUCCGCUCUGGGUUAGUCGGGUCCUAAGCUGAGGCCGACAGGCGUAGGCGAUGGAUAACAGGUUGAUAUUCCUGUACCAC